GACGAACGCUGGCGGCGUGCUUAACACAUGCAAGUCGAACGGAAAGGCCUGCUUUCCCUUGUGGAUUGCGGGUGCUCGAGUGGCGAACGGGUGAGUAACACGUGAGUGAUCUGCCCCCAACUUGGGUAUAAGCCUGGGAAACUGGGUCUAAUUCCCGAUAGGACUGCAGGGUGGUGCCUGUGGUGGAAAACGAUUUUCUAGUGGUUGGGGAUGAGCUCGCGGCCUAUCAGCUUGUUGGUGGGGUAAUGGCCUACCAAGGCGGCGACGGGUAGCCGGCCUGAGAGGGUGGACGGCCACAUUGGGACUGAGAUACGGCCCAGACUCCUACGGGAGGCAGCAGUGGGGAAUAUUGCACAAUAGGCGGAAGCCUGAUGCAGCGACGCCGCGUGGGGGAUGACGGCCUUCGGGUUGUAAACUCCUUUCGACCGCGAGGAAGCCACCUGGUUGGAAGGGUGGUGACGGUAGUGGUAGAAGAAGCACCGGCUAACUACGUG
RNAcentral lists this ribosomal RNA (494 nucleotides) under uncultured bacterium. Its description in RNAcentral is "partial 16S ribosomal RNA". It matches the Rfam family "Bacterial small subunit ribosomal RNA", at positions 28 to 507 of the family's 1533-position model. The record is from RNAcentral.